AAGGGUUGUUUUCCUUCACCAAGUGACAUGAAUCUACAAUAUAAGAAAGUUCAAUGCUCUGGAAAAGACCGAACUGCCCUUUUGCUUUCUUAAUGAGCCACGUGGCUGCCUUAUUUGCUUUCCUUUUUACUUGCUUCAUUUUCCUUUCCUUUACUACUUCCUAUGCUACGUGUGAAAACCUUCCCCUCUUUGUCUCUUUCUUCUUCUUUCUCUCUCCGAGUCUUCUUUCUCUCUCAGAGCGACAUCUUCUACUUUCUGCUUUCUUCCUCUUCAUUUCCUCUUUUCUUCUUCAUCUUCUUCAUUUCCCAAAACGAAAUCGACACGGUUAUCAGGUUUUUUUGGAUUUCUGUUUAAAGUUACUGUUUAGAUAUUGUGGUUAGUGUUUUUGUGGUUUGUAUGAUGAUUUUGUGGUUAGGGUUUUCGUGAUUGUGGUUGAUAUCAUGAUUUUGUGGUUAGGGUUUUGAUGCGGCUAUUGGCCAAAUGGAGGUAUGUUGUUCUUUUCAUCUUUCUAACAUAAAUAUGAAUAAUGUUUUCACCAGUUGCUUUUAACAUUCAGAUCUGUGGUGGCAACAAGAGGUUACCGGCGAUUAGUGUGGUGGUGGUGGUGGAAACGGAUUUCCGCCGAUAAGUGUGGUGGUGGCCGAAAUCAGAAAGAGAUGAAUGGUUGGAGCAGCUGUUGCAGAACAAUCCAUUGUACACACAGAACUUCGUCCAUUGCUUGCUUGAUGUGGUUGAUGACUGAGAAGACGACAUGAGUUACAAUACCAUCACCGACAAAUCAGAAGACAACACGAGUUACACUACCAUCGUCGACAAGGAAAUACAAUACUAUCGCAUGAAUCACAGUGUCGUCACCGCCACCUAAAGAUAAGUUACUCUUACAUAUUCUAUUGAUUGAUUUCAAUCUUCUAUAUUUGUUAUGUUGAUUUGCAUUAUUUACUCAAAGGGAUUGAAUGUGAGAAUUGAAGCUUUAUAGGUUGGUUGGAGCUGCAGAAUUUAUGUUUGAUUCAUGAUGAGUUUACAAAAUCACGACGUGUUGCGAUGAUAUCUGCUAAAGCUAUAAUUCUGGAAAAAAUUGAAUGUUCGGAUCUCACCGGGUAUGCGUUUAACUUUAAGGUUUUCGUGUAACAUUGAAAAUUUUUUUUACUGCAUUUUUAAUCUUAAAUUUUUGGAUUGCUGCUAUUGUUACAUGUAAAGGUCUAUGCCUUAGACUCAACACUAUGGUAACAUAAUUAGUUUGUGUUUUAUUUUGGUUUACUGCUAAUGUUUCAUGUUGAUAGGGUUGUGGAUCAGUUAUUUAACAUGAACAUCUAAGUUGGUUUAUGUUGUGAAUGGUGUCAAGGCGGGGCUGAUUCACUUUUUUUGGUUUGGGACUGCUAUGUUGUAGUGUCAGUUUAAAUUUGCAGGUGUAUAUUGGUUCAUUGAAUCAGUUUUGGACUGGUUUUUGGGCACUUGUUCGGACAGAUUUUGAACAUGAUUUUGGUGAGUUUUUUGAAACAAGUAUUUAAGUUUAUUUUACUACCCUUGGGUUUAAUAAUAUAUUAAGCAAGGAAUUGAGUUGAACUGUCGAGGAUGAUAAUAACUUUGAUAAGUAGGUUGUGAAACAGUUGUAUUAUAUGAUCUGGGACCUAAAGGUCUUUGAGGUACAUCAAUCCCAGCUUGACGAGCCUUCCAUUCAGACGCUGUCGUGGAUUGGCUACGACCGUAUAAUGGAACUAGCGAUGAUUGAGAUGAGACAGUUCUGAUUUGCAUACUGGACAUUGUGGCUUCUGUUUCUCCUCAUAUUCGAAAGAGAUAGCUGUUUGUAUAUGAAUCCAUUUGUAAAUGCAAGGCCAGUAGUAAAGGUGACCAUAAGGAUGUAUAAUUAUUGUGAGUUACUUCCUUUCAAUUUACAUGGGGUUGAAAUGGUCUGAGUUCAAACCUGGUCUCUGCAUCGGGGAAGGAGUUAAGUUAGAGACUUGUGGACUGCUGAAGUUACUCAUAAUGUGGUGAGAUGCAUCUGAAUCUUCCCUGCUUGCUUGACUGGGAGGGUACAAGCUCUUGGAAGGAGAUAGCCUUGAUGUCCCUGCUGCAUCAUAUUUGUUAUGAAAGCCUUGGUUGCUAUUUGGGGUGCUUCUUCCACUCACAUUGCUACUUGAUAAAUGAUCUGCAUCAUAUGCAUGUGAUCGGGAACUAAUUGGACAUAGCACAGAUGAUGAUGCUUCUCACCGUUAUUUCAUUUGUUUGUCUUUACAACUUUUAGUAUAUAAUUGUUCUAUUUAUGACAUAUGAAGUUUGGUUGGAGUUGGAACUAUUGUUUUAGCAUGCCUUCUAUUGUAAAAUACCUUGAAAUAUUUUUCAGGUCAUGUGCCCAUGAAUAUGAAAGUCGUCAAGAAAUGGCAUCUUUGGCAUAUAAAUGCAUGGAGGUGGCAUACAUGAGAGUGGUUUACUGCAAACAUUCUGGUACAAAUCAAACUCUGUGUGAGUUGCAAUCAACUCUUCAAGUAGUUUCUCAAUGUAACAAAACACAGUGAUGUCAAUAUUUACACCUGGAGGUUUAUCUGGAUGCAUUGUGUUUGGUCAUCUUCACCUUUACUUGCACACUUCUUCAAGCAAUGGGGUUGGCUCGGAUAAUUCGACAGUACCUGAAGUUUUAAAUAUUGGGGCUCUCCCUGCAAGAAGAUUCAAAAUACCGAGGCUUUUUGACCAUUGCUGAAGCUCAUGGCAACACAUAAUGUGGCCAUUAUCGGUCCGCAGACAUCUACGACAGCUCAUGUCAUUUCUCAUAUAGCAAAUGAGCUACAUAAUUCCGGGCAUUUCAGCAAAGGAUUGGUGAACCCUUAAGGCUCCUAAAAUAAUGGAGCUCUGUGAGUCAUGAAAAGGAGCUUGGAUGGAACUGAUGGAAGGAACUGAAUCAUCAAAUUUUCUUGAACAGUGCAGAAAGCAUUUUUCUAGGAUGAAGCAUUGUCGGGUUGAUACUUCUCAGGCUUUGAAAUCCUCUCCAUGGUUUAGAUUUCCCUAUCCAUUGCAAUGUGCUAUUCAGCUAUGACUAUUCUAUCUAUUCACGACUUCAUCAUUUUUGGUGCAAGAUUUAUCAGUGUGUGGAACAGAAGCAACUGUGAAUUUUUCAAGCAUGUGAGUUCUUAGUAUAAACCUUCAAUAUUUUUUAUCAAACCUGUGACAUGUAAUUAUAAAAAAAACAAGCCAGUGUUAUAGAAUAUUGACAGCACUAUGGCAAACAUAUGUGGUGGGUUUUGGGCUUGCCGCAAUGGUAAAUAUCAACUGCUCUUGCGGAUUUUUCCGCCAUAAUGUGCUAUGACAGCGUCACCAAGCGGGAUUUAGACUCUCCGCCAUAGUACAAUCUGCCAUAGACAACACUCCCACUAGCUUGCAAAUAUUAGAAGAAAUAUUAGCUACUGUAAUACAUUAGUGCAAAUGGCAUCUUUGCUGAGGUUUUCGGCCAUUUAAGUCGUUUUGGAGGAAUGGGAAUGAGCGGCGGCGGCUGCGGAGGCACGAGGGGUCGGACGUGGGUGUCAAAACUUACGAGGAGAAGCGCCUUUUGGGGUAACACCAUGUUGGCUGAACUUACCAUCAAGGCUGAAAAAAGUGAGCCCGGUGCAAUCUUCACAUGUAGAAUAUAUUUGUCUCAAGAAAUGCAAACUUUCAGAUGGGUAUUUGUCAACUGGUCUCAUGUUGUUUGCUAAUGUGAAAGAAUUAUAUUUAGCUGAAUGUCAAUUCACAGUGCUUCCUAAAUCUAUUGAAAAAUGUCACUUUUUAUGGAGGCUUGUCUUGGAUGAUUGUGAGGAACUUCAGGAAAUUAAAGGGAUUCCACCAGGCUUAAAAGAAUUAUCUGCAUUAAACUGCAAAUCGUUGACUUCGUCGUGUAAAAGAAAAUUACUAAAUCAGGAAUUGCAUGAGUAUGGAAACACCCGGUUCUGUUUGCCACGAGCAAAGAUUCCAGAGUGGUUCGACCACCAAUGCUCGGCAGGAUUGUCAACUUCUUUCUGGUUUCGUAAUAAGUUUCCUGCCAUAGUUCUCUGCGUUGUUUCUCCAUUGACAUGGGUAGAUGAUAUUCGACAUCGUGUAAGAGUGACCAUUAAUGGAAUUACAUUUCUCCGUACGCAUGGUUUGAAGACACGUACGUCACGGGCCAAAAUGUAUACUUUAAAUCUUUUUCAUAUGCAAAUGAAAAACUUCAAUGAUAAUAUGGACAGAGCACUUUUAGAAAAUAAAUGGAACCAUUCAGAGGUUGACUUUGGAUUCCCAUUCUUGAAUAGCGGAAUUCAUGUAUUGAAAGAGAAAAGUAGCAUGAAGGAUAUUCGAUUCACCAACCCAGAGAAUGAUGCUAAUAUUGAGUUCACUCAGAAUGUUGAAGUAAGUAUACAAUUGGUUUUACCCAAUUGUCAUAAAUUAUCUUCCUGUAGUGUUUUAGUAUGUUAAUUUGUUUCAUAAUUUGAUGAUGUAUUUUUCCAUGUAUUCACUAAAUCACAGUUAUAGGUUGGUGGCUCUGUUUAAGGAGUGUUGUUUAAAUGAAGGUGGUAUAUUACCAAGUUACUGCUAAGAAACUAAUACGGUGUCUUACAUUAGUGUAUUAUUUGAUUUGAAUGAAAUCAAGUCAUACAUUAGUGUGUUAGGAAUUCCAUAAAACAUUUUAUAAAAGGAAAAUUCAAGUUCUUCAAAAUCUCCAUCACCUUAAUAAAUUUUUCAUUUUCAAAAAAACAUAAAUAUAAUAUACUUAAAUUAUUUAUCUUUUAUUUAAGUUAAGAACAAAACUAUAAUUUAUUUUUUAUAAACCAACUAAAAAAUUGUUUAUUUUUAAUUUUU
RNA transcript from Vicia villosa (hairy vetch), 4803 nucleotides. RefSeq lists it as uncharacterized. The transcript is spliced from 6 exons. Lineage: Eukaryota; Viridiplantae; Streptophyta; Magnoliopsida; Fabales; Fabaceae. The record is from RefSeq and is a predicted model, not a curated record.